RNAcentral lists this long non-coding RNA (249 nucleotides) under Elaeis guineensis (African oil palm). RNAcentral's name for it is "long non-coding RNA (EGUI_LNC005448)". The record is from RNAcentral. Lineage: Eukaryota; Viridiplantae; Streptophyta; Magnoliopsida; Arecales; Arecaceae.
UACUAUAAAGAGUUGACAGUUUAAACUCUAAAUCAUCCUAGCAUCAAAGGUCAAAGGGAUGAAUUAUAUGGUAACUAUAUCCAAAUAGAUUCUUGAGUGUUGCUUUGCAUACAUUCGACCUAUCUGGACGUUGGAUACCAUUGCUAGAUGGUUAUUUCGAUUGGUGCAAAAAUCAAUUUCUAUGCUACCGAUUUAGGUUCGAACCUAUGGGAUCAUACACAUUAAAAAUUUUUCUCCGAUCACAUGGCU